RNAcentral lists this unclassified non-coding RNA (1883 nucleotides) under uncultured fungus. Its description in RNAcentral is "sequence contains 18S rRNA gene, ITS1, 5.8S rRNA gene, ITS2, 28S rRNA gene". Lineage: Eukaryota; Fungi. The record is from RNAcentral.
CGCGGCUGAUGGACGAAGUGGACGAUCUUGCCACGCGAUAUCGCGCCGGGCAGCCGUUCCCGCACAUCGUCCUCGACGACGUGCUCCUGCCUGAGGUGUUCGCCCGCGCGACGGCUGAGUUCCCGGGCAUUCGGGACGAGUUCUGGAAGGGCUACCUGCACGUCAACGAGACGAAGUACUCCAACACGCAGCCGGAUUCGUGGGGUCCGACGCUGCGCGCCGUGGCCGAGGAGUUCUGCUCCCCUGAGUUCGUGGAGUUCCUCGCACGGCUCACCGGGAUCGACGGGCUGAUGCCGGACUGGACCAUGGACGGGGGUGGCCUCCACCAGACCCUGCGAGGCGGUCACCUCAACAUCCACGCGGACUUCACGACGCAUCACGACCACGACAACUGGGCGCGCCGGGUCAACAUCCUGCUCUACCUCAACGAGGAGUGGAACAGCGACGAGUGGGGCGGGAAGCUCGAGCUGUGGGACCCCGAGAUGACGGCCUGCCAGGCGACGGUGACGCCCGCCGGCAACCGGAUGCUCGUGUUCACCACGACCUUCGACAGCUUCCACGGCCACCCGGAUGCCCUCACGUGUCCCGACGACGUGGCCCGACGCUCCAUGGCGCUGUAUUACUUCACCGAGGAGGAGAAGGCAGUUCGCCGCUCCACCAACUACCAGGCUCGGCCCGACGAGAGCAGGGGCAAGAAGGCGGCUGUGUGGGCCGACCGACGCGCGCUCGACGUCUACGACCGCGUCAAGCGCCGUCUCGGUGUGUCGGACGAAGCUGUUCAGAAGGUGCUGUCGAGGGUGGAUCGGCUUCGGCGUCGCUGACCGGCGCCGUGCCGACCGUCGUGGAGCGAGGCUCGCCGGGAUCCCGGUGCGUCGUGGAUGACCGGCCGGCGACUCCACGCACGGUCGCUCCGGCCAGCGCGCCCAGGUAGGUGGGGAUCCCGCGGUCGACCCGGCUCCACCGUGGGUCGACCAGCGCUCGCCCGACCCAGUGCUCGACCGUGCGGUCGUUGAUGACGGCGAUGGUCACCGUGAGCACGACCGCCACCACUGUGCGCAGCUGGUAGCUCCACGACUCCGUGUGGUGGUAGAGGUACAUGUAGAUCGGGAAGUGCCAGAUGUAGAGGCUGAGCGACCGUCGGCCCAGGAGCGCCAGCGGGGCGAAACCGACGACACGCGUCAGGCCGGCAGACACUGGCGCGAUGGUGCAGGCGACGACGAAGACCGCCAGUGCCACGUCGACCAGGUCUCCGGGGAGCCGGAAGAACUGGACGUCGUCGACCGUGGCGAACGACAGGGCGAGCAGCACCAGCAGGGAGCCCACUGCGGCGGGAGGGGCCCAGCGCGCCGCGCGUCGGGCGUACGGAGUCAGGCAGGCGGCGAGCGCUCCGGAGAGCGGGGCGUCCAUCCGGGCGUUCGUCCGCAGCAAGGCCUGGUAGAGACCCUCGGUCUGGUAGACGUGCGUGCGCCAGGCGAAGACCAUCACCAGGAUGACUGCCAGGGUGCCGAUCAGCGCCCACGGCUUCUUGUGCAGCAGCCACACGAGCAGGAGCACCAGCAAGAACACCUGCAUGUCGACGGACAAGUACCACAGGUGCCCGAGGUCGGGUCGGGCGACGAGGGAGUUGUCCUUGACGUACCAGUUCCAGGUGUACGUCAGGAUCGAGCGGGCCGAGUCGCCGAGGUUGAGGCCUUCGUAGGUCGGCGUGGGCUCGAACAGCUUGACGCACGCCAGUGCACCGAGGAGGACCAGCACCCCGGGCGUCAACCUCAGGACACGGCGCACGACCUGGACGCCCGGGUGCAGGCCGUGCGGCGAGGCAGCCCGGUUGAGGAGGCUCCGGGUGUAGAGGAAGGCGCCGACCACGAAGAAGAUGGAGACAG